Molecule: unclassified non-coding RNA, 259 nt
Filed under: uncultured fungus
Lineage: Eukaryota; Fungi
Description: sequence contains ITS1
Rfam family: 5.8S ribosomal RNA (bases 1-118)
Source: RNAcentral
UGAAAGGCGAAACGUAAUGUGAAUCGCAACUAACAGUGAAUCAUCGAAUCUUUGAACGCAGGCCGCACCUUUCGGUAUUAUUUCGGUAAUACCGAAAGGUAUCUACGUAUGAGUGUCAGCCAAAUAUUCUUUUGGUUCAUGAGGGAAGUAUGGAAUUUACUGUACUUAAACUUGUGAAUACACAAUUGUCUUCAUGACACAUCACUUGAAGCUUUUGAGUGUCUGGCCUCAUAUGUGGAAGAUUACCCGCUGGAUUUAA